AGAGUUUGGUCUGGCUCAGAUUGAACGCUGGCGGCAGGCCUAACACAUGCAAGUCGAGCGGAAACGACACUAACAAUCCUUCGGGUGCGUUAAUGGGCGUCGAGCGGCGGACGGGUGAGUAAUGCCUAGGAAAUUGCCUUGAUGUGGGGGAUAACCAUUGGAAACGAUGGCUAAUACCGCAUAAUGCCUACGGGCCAAAGAGGGGGACCUUCGGGCCUCUCGCGUCAAGAUAUGCCUAGGUGGGAUUAGCUAGUUGGUGAGGUAAUGGCUCACCAAGGCGACGAUCCCUAGCUGGUCUGAGAGGAUGAUCAGCCACACUGGAACUGAGACACGGUCCAGACUCCUACGGGAGGCAGCAGUGGGGAAUAUUGCACAAUGGGCGAAAGCCUGAUGCAGCCAUGCCGCGUGUAUGAAGAAGGCCUUCGGGUUGUAAAGUACUUUCAGUUGUGAGGAAGGGUGUGUAGUUAAUAGCUGCACAUCUUGACGUUAGCAACAGAAGAAGCACCGGCUAACUCCGUGCCAGC
RNAcentral lists this ribosomal RNA (524 nucleotides) under Vibrio tasmaniensis. RNAcentral's name for it is "bacterial SSU rRNA". It matches the Rfam family "Bacterial small subunit ribosomal RNA", at positions 8 to 512 of the family's 1533-position model. The record is from RNAcentral. Lineage: Bacteria; Pseudomonadati; Pseudomonadota; Gammaproteobacteria; Vibrionales; Vibrionaceae.